This is a non-coding RNA of Malus domestica (apple), 3478 nucleotides long. Lineage: Eukaryota; Viridiplantae; Streptophyta; Magnoliopsida; Rosales; Rosaceae. The record is from RefSeq and is a predicted model, not a curated record.
AUGCUCUUUCCUUUUUUCUAAAUUGUUGUCGCCGUUCUCAGCCAUUUUGGGAUUAGCUUUCUUUAUCUCUCAAACCCUAAUUUUUCUCCCUUUUGAAUCUCAUCUCUGUCCGCUCGCGCCGGUCAAUCGGUUUAUAAAAAUUUCCUCUGUCCGGUCGCUGUCGCUGCUUCGUAUAAAAAGUUAGCUUUGCUGUGGUGAGGCACGGUCUCGAACCCUAAUUUUUCAACCUUUAUGUUCUCAUCUCUCUCUGCUCGCUCCGAACGGUUCGUUUGUAAAAAUUCAUCUCUGUGCCGUCGUUGUCACUGCUUGGUAUAAAAAGUUGGCUUUGCUGUCUUCAAUUCCUUUUUCUUGGAAAGUGGAAGCCCCAAAUUUGAGCUUAGAGCUUUAAUUUCUUAAUCAUUCGUUUCUCUGCACUCUCAUCAGUCAGUCUUGAUACUCUCUCAGAGGAGCCUACAUAUUUAAACGUGUUGCUGGUAUAAAAUUUUCUCAUCUAUUUGCAAACAAGUUUGGCAAAUCACAGUACAAAGGUGCUUGAAAAAUUUCAACUCUGCAAGUUGGAAAAAAAAGGAGGGUUUCAAAAUACUGUGCUUUCACGCUUUGGCGUCUUUGUCUUUGUGUUUGAAAGAUUUCUGUACUAAAGGUGAGUGAGCUAAAAUUUUGGAAUUGUUAAGAUCAAAUUUUAAGUAUUUGUUUCGAUUUUGUUUUAUAAAGUAUGAAUAAACUUGGUAUUUCCUUUAACUUUAAAUUGAAAUCCUAAUUUUGAUGGUUUGUUCAUAAUUAAUGUUUGUUAUGUUUUUUUGCUGUGUGAUUUAUGUGUUAAUAUUUUUUUCACUUUUUUUUUCUUUUUUUUUCCCAAUCUUUUUUGCAGCUCUUCGCUUUUCCUCAUAACAAUUUGUUUUCAACAUGUCUAAAAGAUCUAUAAAUGCGUUGGUCAAUGAUGAUAACAACAAAAAACAAACAAAUAGUGAUAAUGAAUAUAAUGUCUUGGUUCAGUGUGACCAUCAGCCAAGAAAAGUGUGUAGAACCAGUUAUCUUGAAAAUCAUGAAAACGCUGUUUUAUCUCAGAUUGAUACAUUUCUUCGAACUCCAUAUUUUAAACAUCAGUGUAGUAGUAGUGGAUCAGCUGUUGUACAAUGCGAUUUGAAAAAUGCUAAUUAUGAUAAAGUGCAGCAUACUGCAUCUGUUGAAAAAAUUGUUCAGCCUUCUGAUCGAAAAGGUAAAAAACCUAUUAAUUUGUUGGAUAAUUCUGAUAACAUGGCUGAAAAAACGAUUGAUCCUCAAAAUUACAAUCUUAUGAACAAGGGCCAAGCAUUCUUCCAGAAAAGCAGAACUGGUAUGUUUUUUAAUUUAUAUAAAAAUAUAUUUCUGUUAUCGUGUAAAUUUAUAUUUAGUUUAUUGCAUAUCUUUUCUAAGUCCUGUUUUCUUUCUUUUCUUUCCUGUGUAUUUUUUUUGCAGGGGUUUUAAAAGAUUAUGUGGAUUUUGGGGAUAAGAAUUAUAAAUGUAGUCACUGCGGUGCCUAUUUUUGGUUGAAAGAGUCUCUUAAGCAAAGAAUAUGGACAUCCUGAUUUAUUCAUAACAUUCACAUGCAAUAUAAAGUGGCCAGAAAUCAUAAGAGAAUUUCAGAAAAAACCAGGAUUCAAACCUGAAGAUAGGCCUGAUAUAAUUUCCAGAGUAUUUAAAAUGAAACUCGAUGAUAUGCUUCACUUUAUAAAAUCUGGAAAACCUUUUGGAGAAGUUGAAGCAAAUGUUUGCACGAUUGAAUUUCAAAAAAGAGAUGCCAUCCAAGUUUUUAUAUGAUGGACGACAGAAGUUUUGGAAGCCAAGGAAACGCAAAGGAUCAAUUGGUAGGAUAGCAUAUGUGCACCCUGCAUCUGGUUACCUUCAUUGGAACUACUGUUUUUAGUUUGCUUACAUAGGAAAUAAAUGCUGCAAUUGCACAUUUAUUUUAAUUAUGAUUCAAUGAAAAGAAGACACAUGACAAAUUCAACAACCAAGUUGCAGCUACAACAAAUAUGUUAAGCACAGUAUAAAAGCAAAGAUUAUUAGGUAUGGCCUAAAUCCUCAACUACAAUGGAAUGACUUAAUGGUAUGUUUUUCUUAACUUUCUUUUCUUUGCUGAUUCCCGUUUAAAUUCAAUAUUUACUAACCUUUCUCUUCAGAGGAAUUCGUUGCUACCAAUGUAUGUAUAUACAAACGAUCUUCGUUUUUACCUAAUCUGAAUACAUAGCUUAUUCCUUGCUUGACCAUUGAUGAGUUAAGGGGGACAUAUGUACAAAGUAUAUCUUCAAUCAGAACAUCUUCAUCUAUACUUUUGUAUGUCCAACUCAAACCUCUCAUUAGACAACCAACCAAUUAGCCAUGUGUUCACAAUACGUCAAAAGGAGAAAGUUUUUGUGUAUAAAUUGGUAGCAACCAAUUCCUCUGAAGAGAAAAGAUGGAAGUGAUGAUUAUUUCUCCAAAUGAUGAAGGCUGAAAUAACUCAGCAUACUUUGUCUCUAUAUUACAAAGAGGCAUCUAACUAGCUAUAUCUGAUCCAUCUUUUUACAUGUUUCACUUCACUUUUACAGAUAAAAUACUAAUGAAUUAACUCUUGAUUAACAAUGUCAUUGUUUAAAUUAUUUCAAGUGUUGCUUUUAUUCAACCUGUUUGAAUUUUGCCAUUUACACACUCCUAUAGGAUUUUGGAUUUGUGUGAAUUUUCAAGAUUUUCCUUGGCUUCAAUUUUUCUUUUUCAAUCUGUCUAUCAUGUUUCCAUUGACCAUUUCAUCAUUUUCGCCCCACAGUAAAAUUACAAUUAUCAAUAUGGAUCCUACCAACAAUGCAUUGCCAUAUCGUUUUCAUUUUUUUCCUGUUUUGUUAUUUGUAGUUUUCGUUGUGUGAUUAGUAUGAGGAAAAUCAUAUAAGAUUUUGGUUUUUUGUGGGUUUUCAACUUUUUUCAUGGCUUUUUGACCAUUUGAUUCUUUUUGGCUCCAAAGAAAAUUACAGUUCUCGAUUUGCAUUCUUCCAAGGGUGCAUAACCGUAUCCUUUUCUCAUUUUUGUUUCUGUUUUUCUGUUGUUUCUAAUUUGCUGUGUAGCAUUCUAUUCCAUGUACAAAGUUGAGCCUUUAAUAAAUUUAGUUAUGAAUGUUUUGUAAACAUGGAAGACCUUAUAAAACUCAAUCAUGUGAUGGUGGAGCACUCUUUUGCUCCCAAUUGAGAACAUUCUCGGGUGAGAGUCCCCAGUUGUCCUACAUGGGUAUCUAUGGUCAACGAGUUCAAGUUCUUGGUUCUGUUAUCAUUGACGGGGGCUCUGGCUAUUGCAAGUUUGGCUGGAGCAAAUACGCAUGUCCAUCAGGCCGGUCAGCAACCUUUUUGGUGAAGUGGUCUGACUUGCAAGAAUUUGGAUGCAGGCGAAGCCAUCUUCGCAGCCCGUGGUCUUGUCUAUACCAAUCUGCCAUUAUGAUGGUGAGCUGCUACCCUAGAGUCUAGAGUUAUAAAUU